CAAUAGCGUAUAUUAAAGUUGUUGCAGUUAAAAAGCUCGUAGUUGGAUUUCUGGUUGAAGCGACCGGUCGGGCGUUGAUUCGUCUGCACUGGAGUCGGUUUUGGCCAUCCUCUAGGAAAGUGCGUCUGGUAUUAAGUUAUCGGGCGUAUGAUCCUGGUCUUUUACUGUGAAAAAAUUAGAGUGUUUAAAGCAGGCCUUCGCCUUGAAUACAUUAGCAUGGAAUAAUAAGAUAGGACUUUGGUCUAUUUUGUUGGUUUGCAGACCGAAGUAAUGAUUAAUAGGGAUAGUUGGGGGUAUUUAUAUUCCGACGUCAGAGGUGAAAUUCUUAGAUUUUCGGAAGAUAAACUUAUGCGAAAGCAUUUACCAAGGAUGUUUNCAUUAA
RNAcentral lists this ribosomal RNA (382 nucleotides) under uncultured eukaryote. RNAcentral's name for it is "partial 18S ribosomal RNA". It matches the Rfam family "Eukaryotic small subunit ribosomal RNA", at positions 592 to 976 of the family's 1831-position model. The record is from RNAcentral.